This 500-nucleotide ribosomal RNA is filed under the name uncultured Myrionecta. Its description in RNAcentral is "SSU rRNA". It matches the Rfam family "Eukaryotic small subunit ribosomal RNA", at positions 34 to 601 of the family's 1831-position model. Lineage: Eukaryota; Ciliophora; Litostomatea; Cyclotrichida; Mesodiniidae. The record is from RNAcentral.
AUGUUCAGAUAGCCAUGCACGUCUAAGUACAAACUAAAUGAUGGUGAAACUGCAAAUGGCUCAUUACAACGGUUAUGAUGUACCCGGGAGUUCCGAUGGAUAUUUCCAGUAACACUAGAACUAAUACAUGUCCCUGCGUUUAUUAGUUUCGCACAGUCCGUCGCUGAGUCAUGGUAAACAGUUGAUCGACUCGACGUCCCGGAACAGUUUCCGCCCCAUCAGCUUCGAUGGUUGGGUAUUGGCCUACCAUUGCAACAACGGGUAACGAGGAAUUAGGGUUUGAUUUCGGAGAGGGAGCCUGAGAAACGGCUACCACAUCUACGGAUGGCAGCAGGCGCGCAAAUUACCCAAUGCAGACACUGUGAGGUAGUGACGAGAAAUAAUAAAGCGGGACUUCUGUUUCGCUAUUAUAAUGAGGAAUAACCAAAGGUCAUUCCGAUUAGCAACUGAUGGGAAAGUCUGGUGCCAGCAGCCGCGGUAAUACCAGCGUCAGUAGCAUA